UCACUUCCAAACGCCGCAAGCUCGCCUUGUCCGCCACGUCUAGUACCUGAAAAUCACACAAAGAACAACCUCCCACAAAAACGAUGGGGGUUGCCUAACUCGGGAGAGGGGGGCUGCCUGGGAAUCACUGAGAAGGGGAUGAGGUAGGGGGUAGGGCAGGGGACUGAGGUGAGGGAAUGGGAGUGGGGUUGGAAGAUAGAGAGAAAGAACAGAAGGGGUCGCCGGAGUUAGGGAUGGGGGUCGCUGGAGUUAG
This 253-nucleotide long non-coding RNA is filed under the name Nicotiana benthamiana. Its description in RNAcentral is "long non-coding RNA (NBEN_LNC001310)". The record is from RNAcentral. Lineage: Eukaryota; Viridiplantae; Streptophyta; Magnoliopsida; Solanales; Solanaceae.